AUACGCUGGCGGCGUGCUUACACAUGCAAGUCGCACGAGAACUCUUCUGCUUGCAGAAGAUAGUAAAGUGGCGCACGGGUGAGUAACGCGUGGGUAAUCUACCUCUGAAUUGGGGAUAACAUUGUGAAAGCGAUGCUAAUACCGAAUAAUAUCCCGAGAACUUAGGCUUUUGGGAUCAAAGGUGGCCUCUACAUGUAAGCUACUGUUUAGAGAUGAGCCCGCGUACCAUUAGCUUGUUGGUAGGGUAAUGGCCUACCAAGGCAACGAUGGUUAGCUGGUCUGAGAGGAUGAUCAGCCACACUGGAACUGACACACGGUCCAGACUCCUACGGGAGGCAGCAGUGAGGAAUUUUGCGCAAUGGGGGAAACCCUGACGCAGCAACGCCGCGUGAGUGAUGAAGGCUUUCGAGUCGUAAAGCUCUGUCAAGUGAGAAGAACCUAUCCCGCGUUAAUAUCGCGGGAUACUGACGGUAUCACUGAAGGAAGCACCGGCUAACUCCGUGCCAGCAGCCGCGGUAAUACG
This 523-nucleotide ribosomal RNA is filed under the name uncultured delta proteobacterium. Its description in RNAcentral is "bacterial SSU rRNA". It matches the Rfam family "Bacterial small subunit ribosomal RNA", at positions 33 to 527 of the family's 1533-position model. The record is from RNAcentral. Lineage: Bacteria; Deltaproteobacteria.